GGUUAAGCGACCAAGCGUACACGGUGGAUGCCCUGGCAGUCAGAGGCGAUGAAGGACGUGCUAAUCUGCGAAAAGCGCCGGUAAGGUGAUAUGAACCGUUAUAACCGGCGAUGUCCGAAUGGGGAAACCCAGUGUGACUCGUCACACUAUCAUUAACUGAAUCCAUAGGUUAAUGAGGCGAACCGGGGGAACUGAAACAUCUAAGUACCCCGAGGAAAAGAAAUCAACCGAGAUUCCCCCAGUAGCGGCGAGCGAACGGGGAGGAGCCCAGAGCCUGAAUCAGCAUGUGUGUUAGUGGAAGCGUCUGGAAAGGCGCGCGAUACAGGGUGAGAGCCCCGUACACAAAAGCGCACAUGCUGUGAGCUCGAUGAGUAGGGCGGGACACGUGGUAUCCUGUCUGAAUAUGGGGGGACCAUCCUCCAAGGCUAAAUACUCCUGACUGACCGAUAGUGAACCAGUACCGUGAGGGAAAGGCGAAAAGAACCCCGGCGAGGGGAGUGAAACAGAACCUGAAACCGUGUACGUACAAGCAGUGGGAGCCUCUCUUUAUGGGGGGUGACUGCGUACCUUUUGUAUAAUGGGUCAGCGACUUAUAUUCUGUAGCAAGGUUAACCGCAUAGGGGAGCCGAAGGGAAACCGAGUCUUAAUUGGGCGUUAAGUUGCAGGGUAUAGACCCGAAACCCGGUGAUCUAGCCAUGGGCAGGUUGAAGGUUGGGUAACACUAACUGGAGGACCGAACCGACUAAUGUUGAAAAAUUAGCGGAUGACCUGUGGCUGGGGGUGAAAGGCCAAUCAAACCGGGAGAUAGCUGGUUCUCCCCGAAAGCUAUUUAGGUAGCGCCUCGUGAACUCAUCUCCGGGGGUAGAGCACUGUUUCGGCUAGGGGGCCAUCCCGGCUUACCAACCCGAUGCAAACUGCGAAUACCGGAGAAUGUUAUCACGGGAGACACACGGCGGGUGCUAACGUCCGUCGUGAAGAGGGAAACAACCCAGACCGCCAGCUAAGGUCCCAAAGUCAUGGUUAAGUGGGAAACGAUGUGGGAAGGCCCAGACAGCCAGGAUGUUGGCUUAGAAGCAGCCAUCAUUUAAAGAAAGCGUAAUAGCUCACUGGUCGAGUCGGCCUGCGCGGAAGAUGUAACGGGGCUAAACCAUGCACCGAAGCUGCGGCAGCGACACUGUGUGUUGUUGGGUAGGGGAGCGUUCUGUAAGCCGUUGAAGGUGUCCUGUGAGGGGUGCUGGAGGUAUCAGAAGUGCGAAUGCUGACAUAAGUAACGAUAAAGCGGGUGAAAAGCCCGCUCGCCGGAAGACCAAGGGUUCCUGUCCAACGUUAAUCGGGGCAGGGUGAGUCGACCCCUAAGGCGAGGCCGAAAGGCGUAGUCGAUGGGAAACGGGUUAAUAUUCCCGUACUUGGUGUUACUGCGAAGGGGGGACGGAGAAGGCUAUGUUGGCCGGGCGACGGUAGUCCCGGUUUAAGCGUGUAGGUGUGUGUUCCAGGUAAAUCCGGUUCACUUUAACACUGAGGCGUGAUGACGAGGCACCACGGUGCUGAAGCAACAAAUGCCCUGCUUCCAGGAAAAGCCUCUAAGCAUCAGGUAACAUCAAAUCGUACCCCAAACCGACACAGGUGGUCAGGUAGAGAAUACCAAGGCGCUUGAGAGAACUCGGGUGAAGGAACUAGGCAAAAUGGUGCCGUAACUUCGGGAGAAGGCACGCUGACACGUAGGUGAAGUGAUUUACUCAUGGAGCUGAAGUCAGUCGAAGAUACCAGCUGGCUGCAACUGUUUAUUAAAAACACAGCACUGUGCAAACACGAAAGUGGACGUAUACGGUGUGACGCCUGCCCGGUGCCGGAAGGUUAAUUGAUGGGGUCAGCGCAAGCGAAGCUCCUGAUCGAAGCCCCGGUAAACGGCGGCCGUAACUAUAACGGUCCUAAGGUAGCGAAAUUCCUUGUCGGGUAAGUUCCGACCUGCACGAAUGGCGUAAUGAUGGCCAGGCUGUCUCCACCCGAGACUCAGUGAAAUUGAACUCGCUGUGAAGAUGCAGUGUACCCGCGGCAAGACGGAAAGACCCCGUGAACCUUUACUAUAGCUUGACACUGAACAUUGAGCCUUGAUGUGUAGGAUAGGUGGGAGGCUUUGAAGCGUGGACGCCAGUCUGCGUGGAGCCGACCUUGAAAUACCACCCUUUAAUGUUUGAUGUUCUAACGUGGACCCGUAAUCCGGGUUGCGGACAGUGUCUGGUGGGUAGUUUGACUGGGGCGGUCUCCUCCUAAAGAGUAACGGAGGAGCACGAAGGUUGGCUAAUCCUGGUCGGACAUCAGGAGGUUAGUGCAAUGGCAUAAGCCAGCUUGACUGCGAGCGUGACGGCGCGAGCAGGUGCGAAAGCAGGUCAUAGUGAUCCGGUGGUUCUGAAUGGAAGGGCCAUCGCUCAACGGAUAAAAGGUACUCCGGGGAUAACAGGCUGAUACCGCCCAAGAGUUCAUAUCGACGGCGGUGUUUGGCACCUCGAUGUCGGCUCAUCACAUCCUGGGGCUGAAGUAGGUCCCAAGGGUAUGGCUGUUCGCCAUUUAAAGUGGUACGCGAGCUGGGUUUAGAACGUCGUGAGACAGUUCGGUCCCUAUCUGCCGUGGGCGCUGGAAGACUGAGGGGGGCUGCUCCUAGUACGAGAGGACCGGAGUGGACGCAUCACUGGUGUUCGGGUUGUCAUGCCAAUGGCACUGCCCGGUAGCUAAAUGCGGAAAAGAUAAGUGCUGAAAGCAUCUAAGCACGAAACUUGCCCCGAGAUGAGUCUUCCCUGAGACUUUGAGUCUCCUGAAGGAACGUUAAAGACGAUGACGUUGAUAGGCCGGGUGUGUAAGCGCAGCGAUGCGUUGAGCUAACCGGUACUAAUGAACCGUGAGGCUUAACCUU
Molecule: ribosomal RNA, 2908 nt
Filed under: Salmonella enterica subsp. diarizonae
Lineage: Bacteria; Pseudomonadati; Pseudomonadota; Gammaproteobacteria; Enterobacterales; Enterobacteriaceae
Description: 23S ribosomal RNA
Rfam family: Bacterial large subunit ribosomal RNA
Source: RNAcentral